Molecule: ribosomal RNA, 460 nt
Filed under: uncultured bacterium
Lineage: Bacteria
Description: partial 16S ribosomal RNA
Rfam family: Bacterial small subunit ribosomal RNA
Source: RNAcentral
CCUACGGGUGGCAGCAGUGAGGAAUAUUGGUCAAUGGACGCAAGUCUGAACCAGCCAUGCCGCGUGCAGGAAGACGGCUCUAUGAGUUGUAAACUGCUUUUGUACGAGGGUAAACGCAGAUACGCGUAUCUGUCUGAAAGGCUCGUACGAAUAAGGAUCGGCUAACUACUUGCCAGAAGCCGAGGUAAUACGGAGGGUACAAGCGUUAUCCGGAUUUAUUGGGUUUAAAGGGUGCGUAGGCGGUCGGAUAAGUUAGAGGUGAAAGCCCGAGGCUCAACUUCGGAACUGCCUCUGAUACUGUUCGGCUAGAGAGUAGUAGCGGUAGGCGGAAUGUAUGGUGUAGCGGUGAAAUGCUUAGAGAUCAGACAGAACACCGAUUGCGAAGGCAGCUUACCAAGCUACUUCUGACGUUGAGGCACGAAAGCGUGGGGAGCAAACAGGAUUAGAUACCCGGGUAGUC